UUACGUAGGUGGCAAGCGUUGUCCGGAUUUACUGGGCGUAAAGGGAGCGUUAGGUGGAUGUUUAAGUGGGAUGUGAAAUACCUGGGCUUAACUUGGGUGCUGCAUUCCAAACUGGAUAUCUAGAGUGCAGGAGAGGAAAGUGGAAUUCCUAGUGUAGCGGUGAAAUGCGUAGAGAUUAGGAAGAACACCAGUGGCGAAGGCGACUUUCUGGACUGUAACUGACACUGAGGCUCGAAAGCGUGGGGAGC
Molecule: ribosomal RNA, 248 nt
Filed under: uncultured bacterium
Lineage: Bacteria
Description: partial 16S ribosomal RNA
Rfam family: Bacterial small subunit ribosomal RNA
Source: RNAcentral